Molecule: RNA transcript, 2469 nt
Organism: Myxocyprinus asiaticus (Chinese sucker)
Lineage: Eukaryota; Metazoa; Chordata; Actinopteri; Cypriniformes; Catostomidae
Exons: 2
Source: RefSeq, a predicted model, not a curated record
UCCACUCCCCUCUUAAUGAAGACAGUCCUGUCCAUUCACAUCUUCCUGAGCGAAGCUCGGUCCAUUCCCAACUUAGUGAAGACAGUCCAGUCCAUUCACCUCUUUCUGAGCGAAGCCUGGUCCAUUCCCAACUUAGCGAAGACAGUCCUGUCCAUUCACAUCUUCCUGAGUGAAGCCCGGUCCAUUCCCAACUUAGCGAGGACAGUCCUGUCCAUUCACCUCUUUCUGAGUGAAGCCCGGUCCAUUCCAAACUUAGUGAAGACAGUCCUGUCCAUUCACCUUUUCCUGAGCGAAACCUGGUCCAUUCCCAACUUAACGAAGACAGUUCUGUCCAUUCACAUCUUCCUGAGUGAAGCCCGGUCCAUUCCCAACUUAGCGAAGACAGUCCUGUCCAUUCACCUCUUUCUGAGCGAAGCCCGGUCCAUUCCAAACUUAGCGAAGACAGUCCUGUCCAUUCACCUUUUCCAGAGCGAAACCUGGUCCAUUCCCAACUUAACGAAGACAGUCCUGUCCAUUCACAUCUUCCUGAGCGAAGCUCGGUCCAUUCCCAACUUAGUGAAGACAGUCCAGUCCAUUCACCUCUUUCUGAGCGAAGCCUGGUCCAUUCCCAACUUAGCGAAGACAGUCCUGUCCAUUCACAUCUUCCUGAGUGAAGCCCGGUCCAUUCCCAACUUAGCGAAGACAGUCCUGUCCAUUCACCUCUUUCUGAGCGAAGCCCGGUCCAUUCCAAACUUAGUGAAGACAGUCCUGUCCAUUCACCUUUUCCUGAGCGAAACCUGGUCCAUUCCCAACUUAACGAAGACAGUCCUGUCCAUUCACAUCUUCCUGAGCGAAGCCCGGUCCAUUCCCAACUUAGCGAAGACAGUCCUGUCCAUUCACCUCUUUCUGAGCGAAGCCCGGUCCAUUCCAAACUUAGUGAAGACAGUCCUGUCCAUUCACCUUUUCCUGAGCGAAACCUGGUCCAUUCCCAACUUAACGAAGACAGUUCUGUCCAUUCACAUCUUCCUGAGUGAAGCCCGGUCCAUUCCCAACUUAGCGAAGACAGUCCUGUCCAUUCACCUCUUUCUGAGCGAAGCCCGGUCCAUUCCCAACUUAGCGAAGACAGUCCUGUCCAUUCACCUCUUUCUGAGCGAAGUGUAUAGCUAGAAGUACAGUAACUCAAUGUAUCCGUCUUUUCCACUGCUGUGCUCAGAACUGCUCUAUACCAGGGUUGUGCAGCAUUAAGAAUGCCAUCUGUUAAAUUGAAGUGAAUUCGAAUUAAUGUGGCAAACAUGACCUACAAUUGCAAUUUGAAUAUGAAUUUAGGAAGCAGAAUUAAAAUGGAAUGAAGUUCAAAAAAUUAAUAACUGUUGUUAAGUUUAUUUUUUAGUUAUGUAUUUGAUUUUUCUGUAAAACAUGAAACAUGUUAUCAUACACACUGCAUUUAGGGUAUUUUCAAAAACAUUGCACUGUAUAAUUAUUCUUAUAUCAGGUAAAUAAUAUUUAAAAAACAGACAGGCCAGUUUAUUUGAUUAUUGUGGUUAUUUCAUAUUUCAUCCAUUUUCAUUUUAUGGACAGUGGUGGAGGAGCACACCUUUUCCUGCAUUGCUCUAAUUUAAUUUUUAUAUUCAUGAUUAUUUUGUACAGUAACACUUUGGUUCAAGUUUCAAAUUACAACUCAUGAAUUGAAAGAGAGUUAAUUCUGAAAUUCUUAAUUUUGGCACAAGUUUCGCUAUGUGAAAUAUUCCGUUUUUUGGGGGGUGGGUGUUUUUUGUUUUUUUUAUGUUUUUGUGUUUCAGAUCAACACACCUAGAUCUGUGGAAGAAGCAAGGGCAGCAGUUUCUGCCUUUGCAGACACCCUAGGUGUUAUGGGGGCCUUCACUUACAUCAGAAAUGUAGAAGAGCGGGGUAGGGUAAUGCAGACUGCAUUGCAGUUUUAACUUCAGGACAGAUUUUCACAGCCUCUUUCACAGCUAAAGGAAGGUCUAAUGACUUUGGGGGUCCUAAAUGAGGUUGUAGCCAACCCAGAGAUAUUCCACAGAAUCUUCACAGCAUCCGUUGUGCCUCUAAACUCCACUGACCUAGUGAACCUUUUCAACCCCAUUUUCUCGCUGAUUGGAAGUAAUAGGAGAAGGUUUGAGAAUAGAACUCUUGCUUUCUGGAGAGACUGGCUGUUGGAGGUGGAACGUAAUUAUUUGUUUGCUUUUGAUGUAUCCAAGUGUUUUAACAGCAACGAUUACUGUAUGUGUUACCUGAGAAGUGAGUGAGGGUCUGGCCUGUGUCAGUGAAAGUGUUUACUCAUUUAGCCAGGCUUCAAGGGCAGACAUGGCAUCUGUGUUGUAUUUCAUUUAUUUUACAUCACAUUUUUAUUACAUUUAUUCAUAUACAGUUGCCGCAAAAAGUAUUUGGACACCAAAGCCUUAAGACAGUGCGAAUGCUGCAGUAAAUUUCAGUUUCCUUUGCUUGUUGUAAGAACACUUCUUGAAUAUA